AGAGGUGAUAUGGUGUGCUCCUGUCAGAUUCCAAUGAAUCUGUGAAUUCUGCU
RNAcentral lists this long non-coding RNA (53 nucleotides) under Crocodylus porosus (Australian saltwater crocodile). Its description in RNAcentral is "Mammalian CPEB3 ribozyme (ENSCPRG00005014545.1)". It matches the Rfam family "Mammalian CPEB3 ribozyme". Rfam says of the family: The mammalian CPEB3 ribozyme is a self cleaving RNA located in the second intron of the CPEB3 gene which belongs to a family of genes regulating messenger RNA polyadenylation. This ribozyme is highly conserved and found only in mammals. There is currently only one other known self cleaving ribozyme in mammals, the CoTC motif. The record is from Rfam by way of RNAcentral. Lineage: Eukaryota; Metazoa; Chordata; Crocodylia; Crocodylidae.